GUCUACAGCCAUGCCACCUUGAACAAGCCCGAUGUCUGAUCUUGGAAGCUAAGUAGGGUCGGGUCUGGUUAGUACUUGGAUGGGAGACCACCUAGGAAGACUAGGUGCUGUAGGCA
RNAcentral lists this ribosomal RNA (116 nucleotides) under Pteropus alecto (black flying fox). Lineage: Eukaryota; Metazoa; Chordata; Mammalia; Chiroptera; Pteropodidae. The record is from RNAcentral.